Molecule: ribosomal RNA, 479 nt
Filed under: uncultured bacterium
Lineage: Bacteria
Description: bacterial SSU rRNA
Rfam family: Bacterial small subunit ribosomal RNA
Source: RNAcentral
CGGCUGGCGGCAUGCCUUACACAUGCAAGUCGAACGGCAGCACGGGAGCAAUCCUGGUGGCGAGUGGCGAACGGGUGAGUAAUAUAUCGGAACGUGCCCAGUCGUGGGGGAUAACGUAGCGAAAGCUACGCUAAUACCGCAUACGAUCUAUGGAUGAAAGCGGGGGAUCGCAAGACCUCGCGCGAUUGGAGCGGCCGAUAUCAGAUUAGGUAGUUGGUGAGGUAAAGGCUCACCAAGCCGACGAUCUGUAGCUGGUCUGAGAGGACGACCAGCCACACUGGGACUGAGACACGGCCCAGACUCCUACGGGAGGCAGCAGUGGGGAAUUUUGGACAAUGGGCGCAAGCCUGAUCCAGCAAUGCCGCGUGCAGGAUGAAGGCCUUCGGGUUGUAAACUGCUUUUGUACGGAACGAAACGGUGAGCUCUAAUACAGUUUGCUAAUGACGGUACCGUAAGAAUAAGCACCGGCUAACUACGUG